AUACGUAGGUGGCGAGCGUUGUCCGGGAUUUACUGGGUGUAAAGGGCGUGUAGGCGGGCUGACAAGUCAGAUGUGAAAUACCGGGGCUUAACCCCGGGGCUGCAUUUGAAACUGUUGGUCUUGAGUGUGGGAGAGGAAAGCGGAAUUCCUGGUGUAGCGGUGAAAUGCGUAGAGAUUAGGAAGAACACCAGUGGCGAAGGCGAUUCUCUGGACUGUAACUGACGCUGAGGCUCGAAAGCGGUGGGGAGC
Molecule: ribosomal RNA, 249 nt
Filed under: uncultured bacterium
Lineage: Bacteria
Description: partial 16S ribosomal RNA
Rfam family: Bacterial small subunit ribosomal RNA
Source: RNAcentral